Molecule: ribosomal RNA, 492 nt
Filed under: uncultured bacterium
Lineage: Bacteria
Description: partial 16S ribosomal RNA
Rfam family: Bacterial small subunit ribosomal RNA
Source: RNAcentral
AGUGAACGCUGGCGGUAGGCCUAACACAUGCAAGUCGAACGGCAGCACAGUAAGAGCUUGCUCUUACGGGUGGCGAGUGGCGGACGGGUGAGGAAUACAUCGGAAUCUACUUUUUCGUGGGGGAUAACGUAGGGAAACUUACGCUAAUACCGCAUACGACCUACGGGUGAAAGCAGGGGAUCUUCGGACCUUGCGCGAUUGAAUGAGCCGAUGUCGGAUUAGCUAGUUGGCGGGGUAAAGGCCCACCAAGGCGACGAUCCGUAGCUGGUCUGAGAGGAUGAUCAGCCACACUGGAACUGAGACACGGUCCAGACUCCUACGGGAGGCAGCAGUGAGGAAUAUUGGACAAUGGGCGCAAGCCUGAUCCAGCCAUACCGCGUGGGUGAAGAAGGCCUUCGGGUUGUAAAGCCCUUUUGUUGGGAUAGAAAAGCAGCAGGUUAAUACCCCGCUGUUCUGACGGUACCCAAAGAAUAAGCACCGGCUAACUUCGUG